GGGCCGGUGGUGUAGUUGGUUAUCACGUCUGUCUAACACACAGACGGUCCUCAGUUCAAGUCUGGGCCGGCUCA
Molecule: transfer RNA, 74 nt
Filed under: Jaapia argillacea MUCL 33604
Lineage: Eukaryota; Fungi; Basidiomycota; Agaricomycetes; Jaapiales; Jaapiaceae
Description: tRNA-Val (AAC) (tRNA-Val-AAC-2 1 to 5)
Source: RNAcentral